GAUGNACGCUAGCGGCGUGCNUAACACAUGCAAGUCGAACGUGAGAGGGUACUUGUAUCCUUGAAAGUGGCGGACGGGUGAGUAAGACGUAGGUGACCUGCCUUGAAGUGGGGGAUAACCAUUGGAAACGAUGGCUAAUACCGCAUGCGUUGGUGACGAUGGGAAUGGUUGUCAACAAAGUUUUGGCGCUUUGAGAGGGGCCUAUGGCCGAUUAGCUAGUUGGUGGGGUAAAGGCCUACCAAGGCGAUGAUCGGUAGCUGGUCUGAGAGGACGAUCAGCCACACGGGAACUGAGAGACGGUCCCGACUCCUACGGGGGGCAGCAGUGAGGAAUAUUCGGCGAUGGGGGGAACCCUGACCGAGCAACGCCGCGUGGAGGAAGACGGUUUUCGGAUUGUAAACUCCUUUUCUAUGGGAAGAGCAAGGACGGUACCAUAGGAAUCAGUCACGGCUAACUACGUGCC
RNAcentral lists this ribosomal RNA (463 nucleotides) under uncultured bacterium. RNAcentral describes it as "bacterial SSU rRNA". It matches the Rfam family "Bacterial small subunit ribosomal RNA", at positions 28 to 509 of the family's 1533-position model. The record is from RNAcentral.